RNAcentral lists this ribosomal RNA (218 nucleotides) under Salmonella enterica. RNAcentral's name for it is "partial 23S ribosomal RNA". It matches the Rfam family "Bacterial large subunit ribosomal RNA", at positions 2725 to 2925 of the family's 2925-position model. Lineage: Bacteria; Pseudomonadati; Pseudomonadota; Gammaproteobacteria; Enterobacterales; Enterobacteriaceae. The record is from RNAcentral.
CAUGCCAAUGGCACUGCCCGGUAGCUAAAUGCGGAAGAGAUAAGUGCUGAAAGCAUCUAAGCACGAAACUUGCCCCGAGAUGAGUUCUCCCUGAGACUUUAAGUCUCCUGAAGGAACGUUGAAGACGACGACGUUGAUAGGCCGGGUGUGUAAGCGCAGCGAUGCGUUGAGCUAACCGGUACUAAUGAACCGUGAGGCUUAACCUUACAACGCCGAAG